This 28-nucleotide small RNA is filed under the name Arabidopsis thaliana (thale cress). RNAcentral's name for it is "ATSL279680". The record is from RNAcentral. Lineage: Eukaryota; Viridiplantae; Streptophyta; Magnoliopsida; Brassicales; Brassicaceae.
GUUUUUUUCUCUUUUUUAUUUUAUUUUU